Molecule: ribosomal RNA, 253 nt
Filed under: uncultured bacterium
Lineage: Bacteria
Description: partial 16S ribosomal RNA
Rfam family: Bacterial small subunit ribosomal RNA
Source: RNAcentral
UACGAAGGGGGCGAGCGUUGUUCGGAUUUACUGGGCGUAAAGGGCGCGCAGGCGGUUCUGUUUGUCGAGUGUGAAAGCCCCGGGCUCAACCUGGGAACUGCGCUCGAAACGGCGGAACUAGAGUUCGGGAGAGGAGAGUGGAAUUCCCAGUGUAGAGGUGAAAUUCGUAGAUAUUCGGAAGAACACCAGUGGCGAAGGCGGCUCACUGGCCCGUUACCGACGCUCAGGCGCGACAGCGUGGGGAGCAAACAGG